GACGACGGGUAGCCGGCCUGAGAGGGCGACCGGCCACACUGGGACUGAGACACGGCCCAGACUCCUACGGGAGGCAGCAGUGGGGAAUAUUGCGCAAUGGGCGAAAGCCUGACGCAGCGACGCCGCGUGAGGGAUGAAGGCCUUCGGGUUGUAAACCUCUUUCAGCAGGGACGAAGCGAAAGUGACGGUACCUGCAGAAGAAGCACCGGCUAACUACGUGCCAGCAGCCGCGGUAAUACGUAGGGUGCAAGCGUUGUCCGGAUUUAUUGGGCGUAAAGAGCUCGUAGGCGGUUUGUCGCGUCGGAUGUGAAAACCCAGGGCUCAACCCUGGGCCUGCACUCGAUACGGGCAGACUAGAGUAUGGCAGGGGAGACUGGAAUUCCUGGUGUAGCGGUGAAAUGCGCAGAUAUCAGGAGGAACACCGGUGGCGAAGGCGGGUCUCUGGGCCAAAACUGACGCUGAGGAGCGAAAGCGUGGGGAGCGAACAGGAUUAGAUACCCUGGUAGUCCACGCCGUAAACGUGGGGCGCUAGGUGUAGGGGACCUUCCACGUCCUCUGUGCCGCAGCUAACGC
RNAcentral lists this ribosomal RNA (573 nucleotides) under uncultured bacterium. RNAcentral's name for it is "bacterial SSU rRNA". It matches the Rfam family "Bacterial small subunit ribosomal RNA", at positions 275 to 858 of the family's 1533-position model. The record is from RNAcentral.